CACACUUUUGCUUUCGUUUUCUAUAAAUGUUGAGGCAUCUGUCUGAUUUAUGACGGGAACGUGUUUGUUUCCCACCACUUCCUGUCUGUAAAAGAGGAAGGCGAGCAAAAAGCGUGGCUUUGUUUUAAGAACUGCUUUCUAAAGAGUAACGCUUAUUAAAAAAGAAGCCGGCUGCGAGAUAGAAUAAAACAUGUGAUUACAUUAAAGUAAACAUCUCUGCUGUGGGAAGGAGUUUCACUUUUAAAGGACAGUUCUGGGUUCCAGACAGCAGCUCUGGGUUGGUAGGAGGUUCCCACAGAUGUUCUCCUUUCACUUUAAAAGAACGAAACCUCAAAGCCUCGCAGACAGCGGCUGUAGCCGUCGGUCAUUCCAGGUAAGAAAAGUUUAGAUUGUUAAGAUGUUAAAGCAAUUACUUCUUUGCAAGCUGUUCUAUCUGUGGAGCAUGAUUUAUGCAUCAGAAGGAUUUGCUUCUUGUUUUAUCGUCCUAACAGGUGGAGCAGCUACUAUGUCUGAUCAUGAGACAGCAGAAGAUCGUCCGUUCAUUUCAACACAUCGUCAGUGCUCCUUUACCAUCACAAACAUGUCCUCUCAGUACACGCUGUCUGAACCCAGUCAUUACACCAUCAGUGGUCGCUGUGAUGAGAAGUUGCCACUUCUUGUCCCUCCAUGCUCAUCUGGGGACGCAAAGUUCGUGAAGACCGCCAACUCUGCCCGGGGAGCCGUCGGCGUCUUCACCUACACCCUGCACAACCAAUACACAAAACGGACCACCGGGAAGAUGGCCGUCAUGUUCUCCGUCCCCUUCGACUACAGCCUGUACUUUAACUGGUACGGACUGGGAAUCUUUGACAAGAGCACCGAGUGCAACAAGGAGCUUUUUGAUCUGAUGUAUGACAACAAAAUAGUUAGCACGUUUAGCACGGGUAAAGCCAGCGGGCCCAGCCUGACGUACAAGAAAGAUCAGGUUACCAUCACGGCAUCGAUGUCGGAUCAAUCAAAAUCAGUCAUUAAAGUGCUUGUCAAAGACAACUGGAAUUAGGGAAUUCAAGAGAAUUCAAGGGAAUUCAACUUUAUGCAUUUUUGACAAUAUUCUGCUUUGUCUCCUUUUGAAUUUAUACACAUUUCUGUCAUGUUUAGCCUCAAACACGAAGAACCAGUCACUGUUUGGUUAAAUAUGAUCCUUCAUUUGCUUCUUCUUUAUAGAAACAGCAAUGUGAGGUAAGACUGUAGAGCAGGGGUUUCAAACAUGCGGCCCACGGGCCAGAACCGGUCCUCCAGAGGGUCCAAUCCGGCCCGACUUUGUAAAGUGUAAAAAUUACACAGAAGACAUCAACUGCAGAUUGUAAAUUUGUAAAACUAUAAAAAAAAUUCCAGAUCAUGACAAGUUGUUUUGAUCGUAAAUUAAAAUACUAGAUUGCUCA
Acanthochromis polyacanthus (spiny chromis) is the source of this 1421-nucleotide long non-coding RNA. RefSeq lists it as uncharacterized. The record is from RefSeq and is a predicted model, not a curated record. The transcript is spliced from 2 exons. NCBI's taxonomy places the organism in Eukaryota, Metazoa, Chordata, Actinopteri, Pomacentridae.